RNAcentral lists this small RNA (1880 nucleotides) under Pan troglodytes (chimpanzee). RNAcentral's name for it is "retained intron". Lineage: Eukaryota; Metazoa; Chordata; Mammalia; Primates; Hominidae. The record is from RNAcentral.
GGAAAUGCGGAGCCGCGUGGUUCUGGGGGAGUUUGGAGUUCGCAAUGUCCAUACUACUGACUUUCCCGGUAACUAUUCCGGUUAUGAUGAUGCCUGGGACCAGGACCGCUUCGAGAAGAAUUUCCGUGUGGAUGUAGUACACAUGGAUGAAAACUCACUGGAGUUUGACAUGGUGGGAAUUGACGCAGCCAUUGCCAAUGCUUUUCGACGAAUUCUGCUAGCUGAGGUGCCAACUAUGGCUGUGGAGAAGGUCCUGGUGUACAAUAAUACAUCCAUUGUUCAGGAUGAGAUUCUUGCUCACCGUCUGGGGCUCAUUCCCAUUCAUGCAGAUCCCCGUCUUUUUGAGUACCGGAACCAAGGUGAGAAAAUGAAAUUUUGGGAGAAGUGGACUAUCUGGGUUCAAAUCCUGGUUGACUGUGAUGUUGGGUAAGUUACUUAUCUUUGUACAUCAGUGUUUUUCAUCUGUGAGAACACUUGCCUUGUCUCCCAAGUUUGCCAUAAUUAAAUGGGAAACACGUAAAGCAUUCAGCAUAGUGCUGGCACUCAGACGUUUACUAGUUCUUAGGAGCUCCCUCCAUUUGUGCAGGAGAUGAAGAAGGCACAGAGAUAGAUACUCUACAGUUUCGUCUCCAAGUCAGAUGCACUCGGAACCCCCAUGCUGCUAAAGAUUCCUCUGACCCCAACGAACUGUACGUGAACCACAAAGGUGAGUAGUGGUAGGGUGAGGAAGAGGCCCCACCUGUGGGUAGCUGCUAGUUUUAGGGACUGAGAUCUUCUGACAUGUUUUUCCUCCAGUGUAUACCAGGCAUAUGACAUGGAUCCCCCUGGGGAACCAGGCUGAUCUCUUUCCAGAGGGCACUAUCCGACCAGUGCACGAUGAUAUCCUCAUCGCUCAGCUGCGGCCUGGCCAAGAAAUUGACCUGCUCAUGCACUGUGUCAAGGGCAUUGGUGAGAACCCUGUGUGCCUUCCUGGGAAGGGGGAUAGUUCGGUUGCAGUGGGGCAAGCUGACUAGGGAACUCAGCUGAGAUAUUCCCGGCAGGUAGAAAGCCAAGAGGGUUGUGCUUUUGCUGUUAGUAGCUUAGGAGGAGUAUUCUUCCUAACCCUAGAAGGGUUUCCUAUAGGCAUGUUCCUUCUUCCUCUCCAGGCAAAGAUCAUGCCAAGUUUUCACCAGUGGCAACAGCCAGUUACAGGCUCCUGCCAGACAUCACCCUGCUUGAGCCCGUGGAAGGGGAGGCAGCUGAGGAGUUGAGCAGGUGCUUCUCACCUGGUGUUAUUGAGGUGCAGGAAGUCCAAGGUAUGGUAUUUGGGAUGCUGUUCAAGUUAGGAACUAAAUUAUAUUUUCUUUGAAGGUGACAGAAAUAAAAACCCUGGGCUCCUAAAAGUAUAACAUGGUUUGCUACCAAGUGGCAAAUUAGAAAAAAGAAUAAAAAAACAUGGUUUGUUCUCAUUAGGUAAAAAGGUGGCCAGAGUUGCCAACCCCCGGCUGGAUACCUUCAGCAGAGAAAUCUUCCGGAAUGAGAAGCUAAAGAAGGUUGUGAGGCUUGCCCGGGUUCGAGAUCAUUAUAUCUUCUCUGUUGAGUCAACGGGGGUGUUGCCACCAGAUGUGCUGGUGAGUGAAGCCAUCAAAGUACUGAUGGGGAAGUGCCGGCGCUUCUUGGAUGAACUAGAUGCGGUUCAGAUGGACUGAGCUUGGAUGCUUCUGAGGCAAGCUGAAGCUUUGGGUUCUGACUGACCCACCCUACAGGACUGCUGAACAGAGCCCAGUGUGACUAGGGAUCCUGAGUUUUCUGGGACAAUUCCAGCUUUAAUCAAUACAUUUUGUUAAAUGUGCCAUAAAAUGAGACUUUUUACGCCUUUAUAAGGCCUUAGAUGUAAAUAA